This is a long non-coding RNA of Choloepus didactylus (southern two-toed sloth), 1536 nucleotides long. RefSeq lists it as uncharacterized. Lineage: Eukaryota; Metazoa; Chordata; Mammalia; Pilosa; Megalonychidae. The transcript has 3 exons. The record is from RefSeq and is a predicted model, not a curated record.
CAAGCUCCCUCGCUUCGCAGAGCCUCUCCUUCCCCCGCCCCUUCUCCGGCUCGCCUCACCCGGGCGCUACCGCUCCAGCCGGGAUCCGCUGGCUUUGAUUGGCAGAGGCGGCGGCCCCAAUGGAUGGCGGAGAAGACAAAGUGAUGGCUGCAAGUCGCCUGAGGUCCCACCCCGGCCACGUGCGGCUUCUGUGAUGACAGCAGGAGAGAUCGACGCUUUCCGGUUACCCGCAGAUGGCAGCAAAGGACCUUUGCAGAACUGAAUGAGGCUGGGCUCAGGACCAAUCUCAGGCUUCUCCGAGGAAAGUUCGGUUGCAAACUGAAAGUUACCAGGUCUUUUAAUUCUCAGAUUCAUUAGGUCUCUGACUUUCUGUAAGUAAUUUGCUUAAGCUGGUUUGUUGUGAGCUAUAUUCACACACCAUGCCAGUGGUGUGCAAGGGACAAAAAUGAAAGAAAGAGAAAGCACUUUUUCUGCCCUUAAAGAGCUUAUCGUUUAGAUAGUCAACAAAUAUCUGUAUACUCCUAGAGAGAGUAAGGUUGGAAUGGUUUCAUGUAUUAGAAAAAGCAUUGGAUUUGAAGUCAUCUGGGUUGGUCUACACUUACUAGCGGUAUCAAUUUGGGUAAGUUACUUGACUUUUUAAAAAAUAAACAUAAUUUUGGAGCAGUUUUAGAUUUGCAGAAAAAUUGGGACGGUAGUACUGAAUUCCCAUAUACCCCACACCCAGUUUCCCCUAUUAUUAACAUUUUACAAUUAAUGUAAUAUUUUACAUGUAUUACAUUAAUGUAAUACAUUAAUGCUAUAUUAAUUAUAAACAAUUAGUGAACAAGUAUGAUGAACUGUAAACAAUUAAUAAACCAAUAUUGAUACAUUAUCAUUAACUAAAGUCCUUACUUUAUUCUACUUUAUUCAGGUUUCCUUAGUGGUUACCUCAUGUCCUUUUUCUUUUCCAGGAUCCCAUCGAGGAUAACACAUCACCUUUAGUCUGUGUGUCUCCUUCCUCUUGGCUGUGACAGUUUCUCAGAUUUCUUUUUUUUUGAUGAUCUUGAUAGUUUUUUGAGGAGUACUGAUUGGGUAUUUUGUAGAACGUCCUUCAGUUGGGAUUUGACUGAUAUUUUUCUCAUGACUAGACUGGGGUUAUAUGUUUUGAGGAUGAAGACCACGGAGAUAAAGUACCAUUUCAUCACAUCAUGUCAAGGAAUGAAAUUCAGACACACAGAGAGAGAAGCCAUGGAGAGUAGCUGGAAACUGGAAGUCAAUGGAAUCUGCACAGAAAGGAGAAUGUGCUGCCAUGUGACCAGAAAACAUUGUCAUGUGACCAGAAUGCCACAGUAUUUGGGGAGAAAGCAUCACCUUGCUGAGUCCUCGAUUUUGGACUUCUCCUAGACUCAAAACCAUAAACCAAUAAAUUUCUGUUGUUUAAGCCAACCCAUUGUAUGUUAUCUGUUUUUUUAGCACCUAGGAAACUAAAACAGUCCCCAAGUCAUAGUCAUUCUUGAUUGUUUAAAUGGCUAGUGAACACAUUGCAGCUGCUGUUUC